RNAcentral lists this ribosomal RNA (474 nucleotides) under Roseateles sp. RNAcentral describes it as "bacterial SSU rRNA". It matches the Rfam family "Bacterial small subunit ribosomal RNA", at positions 391 to 858 of the family's 1533-position model. Lineage: Bacteria; Pseudomonadati; Pseudomonadota; Betaproteobacteria; Burkholderiales; Sphaerotilaceae. The record is from RNAcentral.
GCCAUGCCGCGUGCGGGAAGAAGGCCUUCGGGUUGUAAACCGCUUUUGUCAGGGAAGAAAAGGUUCUGGAUAAUACCUGGGACUCAUGACGGUACCUGAAGAAUAAGCACCGGCUAACUACGUGCCAGCAGCCGCGGUAAUACGUAGGGUGCAAGCGUUAAUCGGAAUUACUGGGCGUAAAGCGUGCGCAGGCGGUUAUGCAAGACAGAGGUGAAAUCCCCGGGCUCAACCUGGGAACUGCCUUUGUGACUGCAUAGCUAGAGUACGGUAGAGGGGGAUGGAAUUCCGCGUGUAGCAGUGAAAUGCGUAGAUAUGCGGAGGAACACCGAUGGCGAAGGCAAUCCCCUGGACCUGUACUGACGCUCAUGCACGAAAGCGUGGGGAGCAAACAGGAUUAGAUACCCUGGUAGUCCACGCCCUAAACGAUGUCAACUGGUUGUUGGGAGGGUUUCUUCUCAGUAACGAAGCUAACGC